UAGGGUGUAGCUCAAUGGUAGAGUGUUUGCCCCUCAUCCAUGAAACCCUGGGUUUGAUCCCUAGCACCAUAA
Molecule: transfer RNA, 72 nt
Filed under: Ictidomys tridecemlineatus (thirteen-lined ground squirrel)
Lineage: Eukaryota; Metazoa; Chordata; Mammalia; Rodentia; Sciuridae
Description: Spermophilus tridecemlineatus (thirteen-lined ground squirrel) tRNA
Rfam family: tRNA
About the family: Transfer RNA (tRNA) molecules are approximately 80 nucleotides in length. Their secondary structure includes four short double-helical elements and three loops (D, anti-codon, and T loops). Further hydrogen bonds mediate the characteristic L-shaped molecular structure. tRNAs have two regions of fundamental functional importance: the anti-codon, which is responsible for specific mRNA codon recognition, and the 3' end, to which the tRNAs corresponding amino acid is attached (by aminoacyl-tRNA synthetases). tRNAs cope with the degeneracy of the genetic code in two manners: having more than one tRNA (with a specific anti-codon) for a particular amino acid; and 'wobble' base-pairing, i.e. permitting non-standard base-pairing at the 3rd anti-codon position.
Source: Rfam by way of RNAcentral